Molecule: ribosomal RNA, 253 nt
Filed under: uncultured bacterium
Lineage: Bacteria
Description: partial 16S ribosomal RNA
Rfam family: Bacterial small subunit ribosomal RNA
Source: RNAcentral
UACGGAGGGGGCUAGCGUUGUUCGGAAUUACGGGGCGUAAAGCGCGCGUCGGCGGUCCUGCAAGUCGGGGGUGAAAGCCCGAGGCUCAACCUCGGAACUGCCUUCGAUACUGCGGGUCUCGAGUCCGGGAGAGGUGAGUGGAAUUCCUAGUGUAGAGGUGAAAUUCGUAGAUAUUAGGAAGAACACCAGUGGCGAAGGCGGCUCACUGGCCCGGUACUGACGCUGAGGCGCGAAAGCGUGGGGAGCAAACAGG